RNAcentral lists this long non-coding RNA (545 nucleotides) under Erythranthe guttata (spotted monkey flower). RNAcentral describes it as "long non-coding RNA (EGUT_LNC003179)". The record is from RNAcentral. Lineage: Eukaryota; Viridiplantae; Streptophyta; Magnoliopsida; Lamiales; Phrymaceae.
CCCGACUUUGAUCAAUUCACCAAACCAUGAAUUUCUGGAAAACACGAGGUCAGAAAUUAAGUCUUACACAAAAUUAUAGCAAACAAAUUCACAUAUACGAACAGAAGUAUAUGUCGAAAAGUACUUGAUACUAAAAAACGAACAUAAGUAAAAUGGGAUAAUUGCAGAAUCCUAAGGAAGAUCCGAUAUAAGGGUACCUUUAUGAGGAUCACAACAUAGGUUCACAAUUAGCCGAAGAAGAGAUGUUGAGAGACUCUCAAUCGUCAGUCGGAAGAAUGGUGGGAGAGGGAGAUGAACGCAGGUAUGAACGAGAUAUGAACGACGGAUUUUAUGAUAAUUAUUAUUGAUAUGUGAUCGAAUUUAGUUAUUAAUUAUUAAUUAUUAAUCUGUAAUUAAGUUUUAGUUUUAAGGGUGUUUAUGUAAUUUUGCUGAAAAGGUAGGCUUCGUACUUUUUUUUGUUGGGUUCGUACUUAUCCUACGUGGCAUAAUUCUAUUGGUGGGUUACGGUCCGAGAAGUACAACCCUCUCGGACCCUAGACAACCCC